CGGGUACGGUGUGGGUCUUUCAAAAUAAUAGCACAAACAGCUAUGCCCCGCACUCUGGGA
Molecule: unclassified non-coding RNA, 60 nt
Filed under: synthetic construct
Source: RNAcentral